Long non-coding RNA from Notothenia coriiceps (black rockcod), 389 nucleotides. RefSeq lists it as uncharacterized. The transcript has 5 exons. NCBI's taxonomy places the organism in Eukaryota, Metazoa, Chordata, Actinopteri, Perciformes, Nototheniidae. The record is from RefSeq and is a predicted model, not a curated record.
UCCUAAAGCCAGAAGCACUUUCUCCAAGCAGAAGCCUAAGAGGGUGAAGGCGAUCUACAACUGUUCGGCGGACAACGUUGACGAGCUGACGUUCGUGGAGGGCGAGGUGAUCGUGGUGGAGGGCGAGGAGGACAGCGAGUGGUGGUUUGGUCACGUGGAAGAAGACCCGACGAGGAGAGGAGUGUUUCCUCUGACCUUCGUUCACUUCAUCACUGAGUGAUCGGGAGACACGAGUCAGCAUUAUGAGUCCUGGGGGGUGUACUACAAAGCUGGAUGUUCUCUUAGCGGCUAACUUCAGGUUAACUCUGGGUCCCCGGUCCUACGAAGCUGGUUCUCUUUUUAGCAGGCUAGAUCUCCAUGGUAACUGAUGCUGAGCGGCUAACCUGCCC